UCUCCUCCAGCUGUUAGUAGCGCAGUCCUAAUGAAAGCCUCAGAAAAUGAUGCUGCAUGUAUACAAAGGUAGACAAGAAUAUAUGGUAUGGAUAUUGAAUUGAUAUUUUGGAAUUACCUUGAUCAUUUUUAGUCAUAAAAAUAAACCUCAGUCCGUCCCCCAAAGUGAAUGAAAACAGUCAUACAAACAUAUGACUGUUCUUCAGAACUGAAGAAGCCUCUUGGAUGAGAGGUGAAACGUCUUCAAGGAACUUUCUUAAAUUCCAGUGGAUUGAUUUAAACUACUUUGGAUAACCAUGACCUGGAUGAAUGAGAACCUACACAGACAGUCAUACAAACCAUACACUACUGGCAUAAAGCUUGGGGUCACUGAGAAAUGUCCUUAUUUUUCAAAGAAAAGCAGUUGUUUUUCAGUGAAGAUAGCAUUAAAUGAAUGAUAAAUCCAGUGCAGACAUUGUUAAUGUGGCAAAUGACUGUUCUAUCUGGAAACGGCUGAUUUUUAAUGGAAUAUCUCCAUAGGGGUACAGAGGAACAUUUCCAGCAACCAUCACUCCUGUGUUCUAAUGCUACAUUGUGUUAGCUAAUGGUGCUGGAAGGCUCAUUGAUGAUUAGAAAACCCUUGUGCAGUUAUGUUGGCACAUGGAUAAAAGUGUGAGUUUUCAUGGAAAACAUGGAAUUUCCUGAGUGAUCCCAAACUUUGAACAGCAGUGUCUGUGCACAGGUUUUAAGGGUAUUUGAGAGAUUGGAGGUGGAGCUGAAGCAAUGUCCAAGCAUGAGCCAGUUUACAAAGUGGUCCAGGGUUUUCACGAGGUACAGUGAGGAAGAGGGGCUUUGACAUGGGUUUAUCACUGAUUAUUAAAUAUUUGUUUAUUCAUCUUAUUUAUUUUCUAUUUUGUUUGUAUAUAUGUACAUAAAUAACGAUGGAAGUGAGCGAUGGCUGAGAUGGAGAAGGAGUUGUUCAUCCUACUCCUUUUUGGAUAUGUUCAGUUAUUAUUUUUUGCAUUGUUUUGUUUAUGUGUUUUGCUGUUGUUUUGAAUAUGUUCAUUUUCAUCUGCUUCCAACCCUUUAAUUGGACAGUAACCCCAUCAGAGGGCUUCAUGUGCACUCUUGGAACUGGAGUUACAUCCAGUACUUUCCAGGGUAUAAGCCGUCAACGAAAGACCUCCAGUUUCUCCUAUCUUGUGCCUCUCUCUCAACUUGAUUCCAGGUGGUGCCCAUUCUUUAAAGUCUGCCUAAAGGUCUCGGCGCCAGCUGUUUCUUGGCCUGCCUCUCUUCCUCUUCCCCUGUGGGUUCCACGUUAGUGCCUGUCUGCUGGUACUCGACGAUGGCUUCCUUAGAAUUCGAUUUGGCUUUGUGGAAAGAAGAAAGAGUUGAACUGGUUCCUCUCAGUGAACAUGAAGGAUGGACACGUGGAAAGACAGCAGAUGGAUUUAAUGAAUGUCAUCCAAGGAGGAUUCCACUUGGCUUUUCUACGGUGGUGAAGGUGGUUGAAAAGUUUAAAGAAUAGGCCAGUGUCGUGGACAAACCCUGUUCUGGACGACCAAAUGUAUCAGCCUAAACUAAAGAACUGGUCAAGGCUAAAAUUCAUGCUAGCUCCCACUCCCUUAACCCUAACUAUCUUUCCAUAUGUCCAUCCUUCACGUUCACUGAGAAGUACCAGUUCAGCUCUUUCUUCUUUCAACAAAACCAUAUUUAAUCCGUGGAGGCAAAAAGAACCUAUCAGAUUUCCUAUGAGUCUAGACUUUAGGGUCACCAUGUAGAAUCAAAAGUAAAGAUGUGUUUGGUCACAUGCUGGUUUUCGGAUGCUAUAAAUAGAGGCUCCCAGCAGAAAUCACAGCUGUAUUCUUUCACUCUGUCCUCAGCAAGCCAAGAAGUGACUGUUCUCACUCUUUCCAUGUUCUCAGUUGUUAUUUUACAGUAGUUCCUACAACUAAAUAAAUGAUCCAUCCUUAAAUAUUGGUAUAUGAGAUAAUGACAUAAUGAGGUAAUUGUAAAAUAAAUGAUAUAGUUGCUUCACUUGGGUGUCCUGUGAUCUUAUCAGUUUUAUGGUCUGCUUUGUGAAAAUAAACUCAGUUGUAAGCUC
This is a long non-coding RNA of Acanthochromis polyacanthus (spiny chromis), 2082 nucleotides long. RefSeq lists it as uncharacterized. The record is from RefSeq and is a predicted model, not a curated record. The transcript has 2 exons. NCBI's taxonomy places the organism in Eukaryota, Metazoa, Chordata, Actinopteri, Pomacentridae.